CUGAGGGGGGAUGGGUUAAGGGAAGGGUGAAACGAGGCAAUCUCUACGCGGAGCAAGGCCAAAUAGGGAAGGAAUCAGGAAGAUCCGUUCGUGCGGAUGGACUGGUGCGGAAUAGCUAGUUCCGCCAUGACUUCCGGGUAGGCCGCAUGAGGCCGGCAGUGAUGCCGGUCCCAGAUGGAUGACCGUUGGGCGCAUAGCGCUUACAGAACCCGGCUUAUAGAUCUGCUUUAUAA
Molecule: RNase P RNA, 233 nt
Filed under: Candidatus Omnitrophota bacterium
Lineage: Bacteria; Pseudomonadati; Candidatus Omnitrophota
Description: Candidatus Omnitrophica bacterium partial RNase P RNA component class A
Rfam family: Bacterial RNase P class A
About the family: Ribonuclease P (RNase P) is a ubiquitous endoribonuclease, found in archaea, bacteria and eukarya as well as chloroplasts and mitochondria. Its best characterised activity is the generation of mature 5'-ends of tRNAs by cleaving the 5'-leader elements of precursor-tRNAs.
Source: RNAcentral